This 594-nucleotide ribosomal RNA is filed under the name Candidatus Mastigocoleus perforans IdM. RNAcentral describes it as "bacterial SSU rRNA". It matches the Rfam family "Bacterial small subunit ribosomal RNA", at positions 154 to 780 of the family's 1533-position model. Lineage: Bacteria; Bacillati; Cyanobacteriota; Cyanophyceae; Nostocales; Hapalosiphonaceae. The record is from RNAcentral.
AANCGACUGCUAAUACCGGAUAUGCUAAACAGUAAAAGAUUUAUUGCCUGGAGAUGAGCUCGCGUUGGAUUAGCUAGUUGGUGGGGUAAGAGCCUACCAAGGCGACGAUCUAUAGCUGGUCUGAGAGGACGAUCAGCCACACUGGGACUGARACACGGCCCAGACUCCUACGGGAGGCAGCAGUGGGGAAUUUUCCGCAAUGGGCGAAAGCCUGACGGAGCAAUACCGCGUGAGGGAGGAAGGCUCUUGGGUUGUAAACCUCUUUUCUCAAGGAAGAAAACAAUGACGGUACUUGAGGAAUAAGCAUCGGCUAACUCCGUGCCAGCAGCCGCGGUAAUACGGAGGAUGCAAGCGUUAUCCGGAAUGAUUGGGCGUAAAGCGUCCGCAGGUGGUUGUGCAAGUCUGCUGUUAAAGAGUGGAGCUUAACUCCAUAAAGGCGGUGGAAACUGCGUGACUAGAGUGCGUUCGGGGUAGAGGGAAUUCCUGGUGUAGCGGUGAAAUGCGUAGAUAUCAGGAAGAACACCGGUGGCGAAGGCGCUCUACUAGGCCGUAACUGACACUGAGGGACGAAAGCUAAGGGAGCGAAUGGGAUUA